RNAcentral lists this ribosomal RNA (417 nucleotides) under Triticum aestivum (bread wheat). RNAcentral's name for it is "partial small subunit ribosomal RNA". Lineage: Eukaryota; Viridiplantae; Streptophyta; Magnoliopsida; Poales; Poaceae. The record is from RNAcentral.
AUGAAUACGUUCUCACAUGUGUUGAGAAUGAACCUCACUAUUCAGUUUUGGCGUUGCAUAUUUGACAAGAUGACAAUGCAUGUUAAGAGAAACCUCUUCAUACAUGGUGCGCACCCCAGCAAGCUUAUGGAACUAGGCCUUCCAGUCGACAUAACGGACUUUGCUUUGCAUCCACUUACCAUGACAAGUUAUACAAGUAAUGUUCCAAUCAAGGAGGAAUCACCAAAUGUGACAUUUGCAGAGCUUCUAGCGGAUCCGAGUGUUAGACCAGAAGGAGACUUCAUUCUAAUUAGAUAUGAAUCAAGGAUACCCCCUCAUAAAUCAUUUGUUCAUUUGGUUACAAGUCGUGCUCAGGAUACACAUGAAGGUAGUAGUAGUACCUUGUCAGGGAGGAAGCGACGUGGUGUGCCAAUCUAA